This 72-nucleotide transfer RNA is filed under the name Candidatus Anderseniibacteriota bacterium. RNAcentral's name for it is "tRNA-Ile". It matches the Rfam family "tRNA". From Rfam's summary of the family: Transfer RNA (tRNA) molecules are approximately 80 nucleotides in length. Their secondary structure includes four short double-helical elements and three loops (D, anti-codon, and T loops). Lineage: Bacteria; Candidatus Anderseniibacteriota. The record is from RNAcentral.
GCGCGUGUAGCUCAGUGGUAGAGCAUCACACUGAUAAUGUGAGGGUCGAUGGUUCGAUUCCAUCCAUGCGCA